CCUACGGGUGGCAGCAGUGGGGAAUAUUGGACAAUGGGCGAAAGCCUGAUCCAGCCAUGCCGCGUGUGUGAAGAAGGCCUUCGGGUUGUAAAGCACUUUCAGUGGGGAAGAAAGCCUUGGGGCUAAUACCCUCGAGGAAGGACAUCACCCACAGAAGAAGCACCGGCUAACUCCGUGCCAGCAGCCGCGGUAAUACGGAGGGUGCGAGCGUUAAUCGGAAUUACUGGGCGUAAAGCGCGCGUAGGCGGUCUGAUAAGCCGGUUGUGAAAGCCCCGGGCUCAACCUGGGAACGGCAUCCGGAACUGUCAGGCUAGAGUGCAUGAGAGGAAGGUAGAAUUCCCGGUGUAGCGGUGAAAUGCGUAGAGAUCGGGAGGAAUACCAGUGGCGAAGGCGGCCUUCUGGACUGACACUGACGCUGAGGUGCGAAAGCGUGGGUAGCAAACAGGAUUAGAUACCCUGGUAGUC
RNAcentral lists this ribosomal RNA (465 nucleotides) under Vreelandella stevensii. RNAcentral's name for it is "partial 16S ribosomal RNA". It matches the Rfam family "Bacterial small subunit ribosomal RNA", at positions 338 to 795 of the family's 1533-position model. The record is from RNAcentral. Lineage: Bacteria; Pseudomonadati; Pseudomonadota; Gammaproteobacteria; Oceanospirillales; Halomonadaceae.